RNAcentral lists this microRNA (22 nucleotides) under Drosophila melanogaster (fruit fly). Its description in RNAcentral is "dme-miR-9375-5p". The record is from miRBase by way of RNAcentral. Lineage: Eukaryota; Metazoa; Arthropoda; Insecta; Diptera; Drosophilidae.
CCGAGUAUAUGGAAUUUCUGUU